This 467-nucleotide ribosomal RNA is filed under the name uncultured Sphingobacteriales bacterium. Its description in RNAcentral is "bacterial SSU rRNA". It matches the Rfam family "Bacterial small subunit ribosomal RNA", at positions 912 to 1382 of the family's 1533-position model. Lineage: Bacteria; Pseudomonadati; Bacteroidota; Sphingobacteriia; Sphingobacteriales. The record is from RNAcentral.
GACGGGGGCCCGCACAAGCGGAGGAACAUGUGGUUUAAUUCGAUGAUACGCGAGGAACCUUACCUGGGCUUAAAUGGGGAGUGACAGCUGUCGAAAGAUGGUUUUCUUCGGACACUCUUCAAGGUGCUGCAUGGUUGUCGUCAGCUCGUGCCGUGAGGUGUCGGGUUAAGUCCCAUAACGAGCGCAACCCUUACCGUUAGUUACCAUCAGGUUAAGCUGGGGACUCUAGCGGGACUGCCACCGUAAGGUGAGAGGAAGUGGGGAUGACGUCAAAUCAGCACGGCCCUUAUGUCCAGGGCUACACACGUGUUACAAUGGCCAGUACAAAGGGCAGCUACCGGGUGACCGGAUGCUAAUCUCUAAAGCUGGUCUCAGUUCGGAUCGAAGUCUGCAACCCGACUUCGUGAAGCUGGAUUCGCUAGUAAUCGCGCAUCAGCCAUGGCGCGGUGAAUACGUUCCCGGGCCUU